RNAcentral lists this ribosomal RNA (422 nucleotides) under uncultured bacterium. RNAcentral's name for it is "partial 16S ribosomal RNA". It matches the Rfam family "Bacterial small subunit ribosomal RNA", at positions 359 to 773 of the family's 1533-position model. The record is from RNAcentral.
GAAUUUUGGACAAUGGGGGCAACCCUGAUCCAGCCAUCCCGCGUGUGCGAUGAAGGCCUUCGGGUUGUAAAGCACUUUUGGCAGGGAAGAACAGGCUCUGGCUAAUACCUGGAGCUGCUGACGGUACCUGCAGAACAAGCACUGGCUAGCUCCGUGCCAGCAGCCGCGGUAAUACGUAGGGUGCAAGCGUUAAUCGGAAUUAAUGGGCGUAACGAGUGGGCAGGCGGUUCGGCAAGAAGGAUGUGAAAUCCCAGGGCUUAACCUUGGAACGGCAUUCUUAACUGCCGGGCUAGAGUAUGUCAGAGGGGGGUAGAAUUCCGCGUGUAGCAGUGAAAUGCGUAGAGAUGCGGAGGAAUACCGAUGGCGAAGGCAGCCCCCUGGGAUAAUACUGACGCUCAUGCACGAAAGCGUGGGGAGCAAAC